CCUACGGGAGGCAGCAGUGGGGAAUAUUGGACAAUGGGCGAAAGCCUGAUCCAGCCAUGCCGCGUGUGUGAAGAAGGCCUCUUGGUUGUAAAGCACUUUAAGCGAGGAGGAGGCUACUUGGAUUAAUACUCUAGGAUAGUGGACGUUACUCGCAGAAUAAGCACCGGCUAACUCUGUGCCAGCAGCCGCGGUAAUACAGAGGGUGCGAGCGUUAAUCGGAUUUACUGGGCGUAAAGCGUGCGUAGGCGGCUUCUUAAGUCGGAUGUGAAAUCCCUGAGCUUAACUUAGGAAUUGCAUUCGAUACUGGGAAGCUAGAGUAUGGGAGAGGAUGGUAGAAUUCCAGGUGUAGCGGUGAAAUGCGUAGAGAUCUGGAGGAAUACCGAUGGCGAAGGCAGCCAUCUGGCCUAAUACUGACGCUGAGGUACGAAAGCAUGGGGAGCAAACAGGAUUAGAUACCCUGGUAG
Molecule: ribosomal RNA, 464 nt
Filed under: uncultured Acinetobacter sp.
Lineage: Bacteria; Pseudomonadati; Pseudomonadota; Gammaproteobacteria; Moraxellales; Moraxellaceae
Description: bacterial SSU rRNA
Rfam family: Bacterial small subunit ribosomal RNA
Source: RNAcentral